Molecule: ribosomal RNA, 544 nt
Filed under: uncultured bacterium
Lineage: Bacteria
Description: bacterial SSU rRNA
Rfam family: Bacterial small subunit ribosomal RNA
Source: RNAcentral
AGAGUUUGAUCAUGGCUCAGAAUGAACGCUGGCGGCGUGCUUAACACAUGCAAGUCGAACGAGAAAGCUUUAGCUUGCUAGAGCGAGUAAAGUGGCGCACGGGUGAGUAACGCGUGGGUAAUCUGCCUUCGAAUUUGGGAUAACACCCCGAAAGGGGUGCUAAUACCGGAUAAUAUCUUUUGUAUUGCGGUACGGAAGAUCAAAGACAGCCUCUACAUGUAAGCUGUUGUUUGGAGAUGAGCCCGCGUACCAUUAGCUUGUUGGUGGGGUAAUGGCCUACCAAGGCGACGAUGGUUAGCUGGUCUGAGAGGAUGAUCAGCCACACUGGAACUGGAACACGGUCCAGACUCCUACGGGAGGCAGCAGUGAGGAAUUUUGCGCAAUGGGCGAAAGCCUGACGCAGCAACGCCGCGUGAGUGAUGAAGGAUUUCGGUUCGUAAAGCUCUGUCAAGUGGGAAGAACCUAUUUAAAGUUAACAGCUUUAGAUACUGACGGUACCACUGAAGGAAGCACCGGCUAACUCCGUGCCAGCAGCCGCGGUAAU